GAGGAAUAUUGGUCAAUGGGCGCGAGCCUGAACCAGCCAAGUAGCGUGAAGGAUGACUGCCCUAUGGGUUGUAAACUUCUUUUAUAAGGGAAUAAAUGAAGGCACGUGGGCCUUAUUGCACGUACCUUAGGAUUAACAUUCGGUUAAUCCGGUGCCAGCAGCCGCGGUAAUACGGAGGAUGCAAGCGUUAUCCGGAUUUAUUGGGUUUAAAGGGAGCGUAGGCGGACUAUUAAGUCAGCUGUGAAAGUUUACGGCUCAACCGUGAAAUUGCAGUUGAAACUGGUCGUCUUGAGUGCAGUAAAGGUGGGCGGAAUUCGUGGUGUAGCGGUGAAAUGCUUAGAUAUCACGAAGAACUCCAAUUGCGAAGGCAGCUCACUGGAGUGUAACUGACGCUGAUGCUCGAAAGUGUGGGUAGCAAACA
This 421-nucleotide ribosomal RNA is filed under the name uncultured Bacteroides sp. RNAcentral's name for it is "bacterial SSU rRNA". It matches the Rfam family "Bacterial small subunit ribosomal RNA", at positions 356 to 774 of the family's 1533-position model. The record is from RNAcentral. Lineage: Bacteria; Pseudomonadati; Bacteroidota; Bacteroidia; Bacteroidales; Bacteroidaceae.